AUUUGAAGGCAGACUGGUUGGUGGUGUGUAACUUAGCGCUGAUGCCAAAGCUGAUUUUUCACACUCAAAGUUUUCUUCUGGAUACUCUUGUUCUUCAUUGACGGAAGAUAUAUGGCGUGUCUGGCUACUACACUGAAGGGAGACUAUGCUGACAGCAAACCACAUCCUCCAUGGGAAUGGUGUGACACAAACCGAACACUGACUGCUGACCAGUGGCAUGCACAGAAAGCAUAUAUCUGGUCUAGGUUGGUGGGUUUUAUUGUCCUCUGGUUAUGCUCAGCUGGAAUACUGUGGAUUGAAUAUCGUGGAG
Colossoma macropomum (tambaqui) is the source of this 310-nucleotide long non-coding RNA. RefSeq lists it as uncharacterized. Lineage: Eukaryota; Metazoa; Chordata; Actinopteri; Characiformes; Serrasalmidae. The transcript is spliced from 3 exons. The record is from RefSeq and is a predicted model, not a curated record.